AGCAGUUUGGUGUAGUGGUUAUGCUGCUGGUUGUCAAUCAGUCACAUGAUACUUGUUUUUGGAGGUCCCGAGUUCGAAUCUCGGCACUGCCG
RNAcentral lists this transfer RNA (92 nucleotides) under Armillaria ostoyae. It matches the Rfam family "tRNA". Rfam says of the family: Transfer RNA (tRNA) molecules are approximately 80 nucleotides in length. Lineage: Eukaryota; Fungi; Basidiomycota; Agaricomycetes; Agaricales; Physalacriaceae. The record is from RNAcentral.